This 220-nucleotide ribosomal RNA is filed under the name uncultured bacterium. Its description in RNAcentral is "partial 16S ribosomal RNA". It matches the Rfam family "Bacterial small subunit ribosomal RNA", at positions 102 to 334 of the family's 1533-position model. The record is from RNAcentral.
UACGGGUGAGUAACACGUGGGUAAUCUACCUCUUAGUGGGGGAGUAUCUCUGGGAAACCGGAGUUAAUACCGCAUAAGUUCGAGAGAAGAAAGCAGCAAUGCGCUGAGAGAGGAGCCCGCGGCCGAUUAGCUAGUUGGUAAGGUAAAGGCUUACCAAGGCAGAGAUCGGUAGCCGGCCUGAGAGGGCACACGGCCACACUGGCACUGAAACACGGGCCAG